Molecule: ribosomal RNA, 387 nt
Filed under: Theileria velifera
Lineage: Eukaryota; Apicomplexa; Aconoidasida; Piroplasmida; Theileriidae
Also listed under: 1 other name
Description: SSU rRNA
Rfam family: Eukaryotic small subunit ribosomal RNA
Source: RNAcentral
AAAUAACAAUACGGGGCUUAAUGUCUUGUAAUUGGAAUGAUGGGAAUUUAAACCUCUUCCAGAGUAUCAAUUGGAGGGCAAGUCUGGUGCCAGCAGCCGCGGUAAUUCCAGCUCCAAUAGCGUAUAUUAAAAUUGUUGCAGUUAAAAAGCUCGUAGUUGAAUUUCUGCUACAUUGCCUAUUCUCCUUUACGAGUUUGGGUCUUUUGUGGCUUAUCUGGGUUCGCUUGCGUUCCCGGUGUUUUACUUUGAGAAAAUUAGAGUGCUCAAAGCAGGCUUUUGCCUUGAAUAGUUUAGCAUGGAAUAAUAAAGUAGGACUUUGGUUCUAUUUUGUUGGUUUUAGGUACCAAAGUAAUGGUUAAUAGGAACAGUUGGGGGCAUUCGUAUUUA